This 404-nucleotide ribosomal RNA is filed under the name uncultured bacterium. RNAcentral's name for it is "bacterial SSU rRNA". It matches the Rfam family "Bacterial small subunit ribosomal RNA", at positions 355 to 776 of the family's 1533-position model. The record is from RNAcentral.
CUAAGAAUAUUGGGCAAUGGAGGAAACUCUGACCCAGCCAUGCCGCGUGAAUGAAGAAGGCCUUCGGGUUGUAAAGUUCUUUUAGUCGUGAAGAUGAUGACAGUAGCGACAGAAAAAGCACCGGCUAACUUCGUGCCAGCAGCCGCGGUAAUACGAAGGGUGCAAGCGUUGUUCGGAUUUACUGGGCGUAAAGCGUCCGUAGGUGGUUUGUUAAGUCAGGGGUGAAAUCCCGGGGCCCAACCCCGGAACUGCCUUUGAUACUGGCAAACUGGAGCGUGAUAGAGGAAGAUGGAAUAUCUGGUGUAGGGGUGAAAUCCGUAGAUAUCAGAUGGAACACCAAUGGCGAAGGCAGUCUUCUGGAUCAUCGCUGACACUGAGGGACGAAAGCGUGGGUAGCAAACAGA